UGCUUCUUUCUGAGGCUGUAACCUUUGUGGAAACAAGAACCAAGUCUGUUAUAAUCACUUCUCUAUUCCCAGCUUCCAGCACAGUGCCUAGUAUUUGCAGAAGCUGCUUAAAAAGUACUUCUUUAAUUGAGGAACCAAAAAUGAAAUGUGCACAAUUGAGAUUAAGUUAAAAUUGACAGGAAGGUGGUGGCUAUUUUGAGUCUAUGGUUAUAGGCUUGGUCUGUCCUCAUGCUGACUUGGUCUGCGUGCCUAGGUUCAAGAUUGCCUCCAUGGGGAAUAGGCCUGCCUGCACACGUCUUACAGCCAGGGAGAUUCUUACAAUAUAUCACUUGUACAUGAGUCCCUUUCUCAGGAUCUGCUUUUGUGGCAUUCACCCUAAGGUUGAACUCUCAGCAGACUGCAAAGAUGAACAGAAAUCUGCAAAAGAUACUGAGAAUAAACAUCCAGUGUCAGAGAACAAAAAUCAUCAUGACAAUGUUUUAGAAACUAAGCAAAGAAAGAGCUUCCACGGAAGGAACAGGCUGGAGUGCAAUCGCAUGAUCUCAGCUCACUGCAACCUCUGUCUCCCGGAUUCAAGAAAUUCUACUGCAUCAGCCUCCCUAGCAGCUGAGAUUACAGGCACAUGCCACCACAACCAGCUUUUUUUUUUUUUUAUUUUUAGUAGAGACAGGUUUUGUCAUGUUGGCUAG
Molecule: long non-coding RNA, 689 nt
Filed under: Callithrix jacchus (white-tufted-ear marmoset)
Lineage: Eukaryota; Metazoa; Chordata; Mammalia; Primates; Cebidae
Description: lncRNA (ENSCJAG00000063124.2)
Source: RNAcentral